This 431-nucleotide ribosomal RNA is filed under the name uncultured bacterium. RNAcentral's name for it is "partial 16S ribosomal RNA". It matches the Rfam family "Bacterial small subunit ribosomal RNA", at positions 29 to 507 of the family's 1533-position model. The record is from RNAcentral.
AACGAACGCUGGCGGCAGGCCUAACACAUGCAAGUCGAGCGCCCUUUCGGGGGAGCGGCGGACGGGUGAGUAACGCGUGGGAAUAUGCCCUUCUCUACGGAAUAGCCUCGGGAAACUGAGAGUAAUACCGUAUACGCCCUUUGGGGGAAAGAUUUAUCGGGGAAGGAUUAGCCCGCGUUGGAUUAGGUAGUUGGUGGGGUAAUGGCCUACCAAGCCGACGAACCAUAGCUGGUUUGAGAGGAUGAUCAGCCACACUGGGACUGAGACACGGCCCAGACUCCUACGGGAGGCAGCAGUGGGGAAUCUUAGACAAUGGGGGCAACCCUGAUCUAGCCAUGCCGCGUGAGUGAUGAAGGCCUUAGGGUUGUAAAGCUCUUUCAGCUGGGAAGAUAAUGACGGUACCAGCAGAAGAAGCCCCGGCUAACUCCGUG